This 1060-nucleotide long non-coding RNA is filed under the name Chrysemys picta bellii (western painted turtle). Its description in RNAcentral is "lncRNA (ENSCPBG00000002926.1)". The record is from RNAcentral. Lineage: Eukaryota; Metazoa; Chordata; Testudines; Emydidae.
UGUUUGCUGGCACUUUGAACUAUUUCUCAAUGAAGGUGCCAUAAUCUGUGUUUCUCUUUCUGCAGAAAUUACCGACCUGAUGGUGAAUCAAACCCCAACCAGUGUCAGUGAUUUCGAAGGCUCAGAACUUACCAUGAAUUGUACAUUCAAGACAGUCAAUAACCACAGCACCAUGUAUGUGCGAUGGUAUAACUAUGGGACUGAGGGACUAAAGAAAGAGCUGAUGAAUGACAGCGAUGUGAUCACAACCCUGCAUUUGGACAAUGGGUUUGCCUCUCUCACUUUGAAGAACGCAAAUUCAUCUGAUACAGGAACCUACGUGUGUGAGGUGGGGAUCACAGCAAGGAACCUCUCUGGGAAUGGAACAGGAACCCAAGUGACCAUCGAGAAUUUUCCCGAGCUGAUGGUGAAUCAGACCCCAGCCAAUAUCCCUGUGUCAGAAGGGUCAGAUCUCACCAUGGAGUGUAGAUUCACGGUAUGGAAUAAACACAAGACCUUGUAUGUGAAAUGGUAUAAACAUAGCGGAACUGGGGGAACGAAGAAGGAGCUGAUGAGCGAAAGAGUCAGGGACCCAGCAGCCCUGGCUUUGGAAAAGGGUUUUGCUUCGUUCACUCUGAAGAACGUGAAUGUAACCGAUACAGGAACCUACGUGUGUGAGGUGGGGAGCACAGCGAGGAACUGGUCUGUGUCAGGAGCCGGAACCCAAGUGACCAUCACUCGUAAGUAUCAGUAUUUUCCUAUCUGAUCUUCCUGCUGUGAGCGACAGCGAAUGGCAGCCUAAAGGACAAAGAAUGAACGACUGUAGCUGGCAAAAGCGGGUCUGAAUUCUCAGGUGUGUCCAGUAUAUAACCCAUAAAAAUAUGGGCUCCAGCCUGUGAGGAGCUGAAGAUAACAUAGUUCAAAAUACCUAAGUGAUUUAGGGGCUUCCAAUUUUCAGAGGGGACUUAGGCACUUGCAGGGCAGAUUUUUAAUGGCGUUUAGGCACCAAAAGUUGUAGGUGGGCUUUUCAAAAGUAUAUCAGUAUCUAACUCCCAUUGAAAUCAGUAACUUUUGCCAACAG